CUGUGAUUUGCCGUGGCGGCGUGGUUUUUGUCCCUUGUGUUUGCUUUCGUUUGUUAUUGCCUCUUUUUUGUUUUGCACUGCGGCGAGUCCUGCAGGGGGCUGUGCCUUUUUAUUGUCUUGCCGGGCGGGGGCAGCCCACACGCCGCCGCAAAGGAAAAGGCGGACCCACAGAGGCACCCCCCCCCAAAAAAAGAGAGGUCUUCUUCCCUCUUUGAAAAAAGAAAAAGCCAAAGAGGGGACGCGAAAAGACAACACACAAAGCAAAAAGGCGGAUUAACGAGCAAAGCCCCGUGCGACGAAAUCUACGACGAGAUCUGUCGCGCCCGCAGCCGACGGCGUAUCGGCCAGCGCGUCCAAGAGCCAGAAAUCGUGGGGCACGUCGGCAUACGAGGCUGCUUGGACUGGCGUGCCGGCCCGCAACAGCGCGUCUGCAUAAACGUGUCCGUGGUGUGCGACAACGUCCCGGUCGGCGGUGAUGAUCAACGUCGGCGGCAGCAGUCGCAUAUGGGAGGCUUUGGCCUUGAGUGGCGACUGCGCGGGAUCGGGUGCGUAGGCGGUCCAGGCGUAGGCCAUGGCGUCGCGUGUCGUCCACGGCAGGCAGAUCUCGUCGUCGCCAUCGUGCCCGUUGUCUUUGGCACAGAGUGCGCCAUCGUGCGGCGCGUCCAAAAUGGGGCAGACCAAGACUUGCGCGCACAUGCGAGGCGCCAUCUCGGGAUCGGCGGCGAUCGCCAGCGCCGCCGCGGCCGCGAUGUGACAUCCGAGGCCGUCGCCGACAAGGGCCAGACGCGUCCCGUCGACGCCCACGCGGUCGCCACACGCGGCCAGCCACGCGACGACACACGCCACCUG
RNAcentral lists this long non-coding RNA (849 nucleotides) under Pandoravirus neocaledonia. RNAcentral describes it as "hypothetical ncRNA". The record is from RNAcentral.